GACGAACGCUGGCGGCGUGCUUAACACAUGCAAGUCGAACGGUGAAGCGCCUUCCUUUUUGGUGGGUGUGGAUGAGUGGCGAACGGGUGAGUAACACGUGAGUAACCUGCCCCCUUCUUCUGGAUAACCGCAUGAAAGUGUGGCUAAUACGGGAUAUUCUGGGUCUGUCGCAUGAUGGGUCUGGGAAAGAUAUUGUUUCGGUGGGGGAUGGGCUCGCGGCCUAUCAGCUUGUUGGUGGGGUGAUGGCCUACCAAGGCGGUGACGGGUAGCCGGCCUGAGAGGGUGGACGGUCACACUGGGACUGAGACACGGCCCGGACUGCUACGGGGGGCAGCAGUGGGGAAUAUUGCACAAUGGGGGCAAGCCUGAUGCAGCGACGCCGCGUGAGGGAUGGAGGCCUUCGGGUUGUGAACCUCUUUCGCCAGUGAAGCAGGCCUGCCUCGUUUGUGGGUGGGUUGACGGUAGCUGGAUAAGAAGCGCCGGCUAACUACGUG
RNAcentral lists this ribosomal RNA (494 nucleotides) under uncultured bacterium. RNAcentral describes it as "partial 16S ribosomal RNA". It matches the Rfam family "Bacterial small subunit ribosomal RNA", at positions 28 to 507 of the family's 1533-position model. The record is from RNAcentral.